RNAcentral lists this ribosomal RNA (497 nucleotides) under uncultured bacterium. RNAcentral's name for it is "partial 16S ribosomal RNA". It matches the Rfam family "Bacterial small subunit ribosomal RNA", at positions 28 to 507 of the family's 1533-position model. The record is from RNAcentral.
GAUGAACGCUGGCGGCGUGCCUAAUACAUGCAAGUCGAGCGAACAGAUGAGGAGCUUGCUCCUCUGACGUUAGCGGCGGACGGGUGAGUAACACGUGGAUAACCUACCUAUAAGACUGGGAUAACUUCGGGAAACCGGAGCUAAUACCGGAUAAUAUAUUGAACCGCAUGGUUCAAUAGUGAAAGACGGUUUUGCUGUCACUUAUAGAUGGAUCCGCGCCGCAUUAGCUAGUUGGUAAGGUAACGGCUUACCAAGGCAACGAUGCGUAGCCGACCUGAGAGGCUGAUCGGCCACACGGGAACGUAGACACGGUCCAGGCGCCUACGGGAGGCAGCAGUAGGGAAUCUUCCGCAAUGGGCGAAAGCCUGACGGAGCAACGCCGCGUGAGUGAUGAAGGUCUUCGGAUCGUAAAACUCUGUUAUUAGUGAAGAACAAAUGUGUAAGUAACUAUGCACGUCUUGACGGUACCGAAUCAGAAAGCCACGGCUAACUACGUG